UACUCCCCUCUCACCUACUCUAGUUAUCCAGUAUCAGAUGCAGUUCCCAGGUUAAGCCCGGGGCUUUCACAUCUGACUUAAAUAACCACCUACGCGCGCUUUACGCCCAGUAAUUCCGAUUAACGCUUGCACCCUCUGUAUUACCGCGGCUGCUGGCACAGAGUUAGCCGGUGCUUAUUCUGUGGGUAACGUCAGGGCUUAUGGGUAUUAACCAUAAGCUUUUCCUCCCCACUUAAAGUGCUUUACAACCAAAAGGCCUUCUUCACACACGCGGCAUGGCUGGAUCAGGCUUUCGCCCAUUGUCCAAUAUUCCCCACUGCUGCCUCCCGUAGGAGUCUGGGCCGUGUCUCAGUCCCAGUGUGGCUGAUCAUCCUCUCAGA
Molecule: ribosomal RNA, 380 nt
Filed under: Moraxella catarrhalis
Lineage: Bacteria; Pseudomonadati; Pseudomonadota; Gammaproteobacteria; Moraxellales; Moraxellaceae
Description: partial 16S ribosomal RNA
Source: RNAcentral